This 466-nucleotide ribosomal RNA is filed under the name uncultured bacterium. RNAcentral describes it as "partial 16S ribosomal RNA". It matches the Rfam family "Bacterial small subunit ribosomal RNA", at positions 28 to 507 of the family's 1533-position model. The record is from RNAcentral.
GACGAACGCUGGCGGCGUGCUUAACACAUGCAAGUCGAACGGAAAGGCCCUGCUUGCAGGGUACUCGAGUGGCGAACGGGUGAGUAACACGUGGGUGAUCUGCCCUGCACUUCGGGAUAAGCUUGGGAAACUGGGUCUAAUACCGGAUAGGAGCCAUCUUUAGUGUGGUGGUUGGAAAGUUUUUUCGGUGUAGGAUGAGCUCGCGGCCCAUCAGCUUGUUGGUGGGGUAAUGGCCUACCAAGGCGGCGACGGGUAGCCGGCCUGAGAGGGUGUACGGCCACAGUGGGACUGAGAUACGGCCCAGACUCCUACGGGAGGCAGCAGUGGGGAAUAUUGCACAAUGGGCGCAAGCCUGAUGCAGCGACGCCGCGUGGGGGAUGAAGGCCUUCGGGUUGUAAACUCCUUUCGCUAGGGACGAAGCUUUGUUGUGACGGUACCUAGAUAAGAAGCACCGGCUAACUACGUG